CCUACGGGUGGCAGCAGUGGGGAAUAUUGGGCAAUGGACGCAAGUCUGACCCAGCAACGCCGCGUGAAGGAAGAAGGCUUUCGGGUUGUAAACUUCUUUUAAGGGGGAAGAGCAGAAGACGGUACCCCUUGAAUAAGCCACGGCUAACUACGUGCCAGCAGCCGCGGUAAUACGGAGGAUGCGAGCGUUAUCCGGAUUUAUUGGGUUUAAAGGGUGCGUAGGCGGUAUGUUAAGUCAAGGGUGAAAUCCCCGCGCUCAACGUGGGAACUGCCUUUGAAACUGGCAAACUGGAGUGUGUGAGAGGAUAGUGGAAUUCCAGGUGUAGGAGUGAAAUCCGUAGAUAUCUGGAGGAACAUCAGUGGCGAAGGCGACUAUCUGGCACAUAACUGACGCUGAGGAGCGAAAGCGUGGGUAGCAAACAGGAUUAGAUACCCCAGUAGUC
Molecule: ribosomal RNA, 442 nt
Filed under: uncultured bacterium
Lineage: Bacteria
Description: partial 16S ribosomal RNA
Rfam family: Bacterial small subunit ribosomal RNA
Source: RNAcentral